RNAcentral lists this transfer RNA (60 nucleotides) under Salmo salar (Atlantic salmon). It matches the Rfam family "tRNA", at positions 8 to 63 of the family's 71-position model. From Rfam's summary of the family: Transfer RNA (tRNA) molecules are approximately 80 nucleotides in length. Their secondary structure includes four short double-helical elements and three loops (D, anti-codon, and T loops). Lineage: Eukaryota; Metazoa; Chordata; Actinopteri; Salmoniformes; Salmonidae. RNAcentral also lists the same sequence under 1 other name. The record is from Rfam by way of RNAcentral.
UGGCUCAGUUGGUAGAGAGCAUUGCGCUUGCAACGCCAAGGUUGUGGAUUCGAUGCCCAC